This 305-nucleotide ribosomal RNA is filed under the name uncultured bacterium. Its description in RNAcentral is "bacterial SSU rRNA". It matches the Rfam family "Bacterial small subunit ribosomal RNA", at positions 335 to 651 of the family's 1533-position model. The record is from RNAcentral.
AUGCCUACGGGACGCAGCAGUCGAGAAUCAUUCACAAUGGGGGAAACCCUGAUGGUGCGACGCCGCGUGGGGGAAUGAAGGUCUUCGGAUUGCAAACCCCUGUCAUGUGGGAGCAAAUUAAAAAGAUAGUACCACAAGAGGAAGAGACGGCUAACCCUGUGCCAGCAGCCGCGGUAAUACAGAGGUCUCAAGCGUCGUUCGGAAUCACUGGGCGUAAAGCGUGCGUAGGCUGUUUCGUAAGUCGUGUGUGAAAGGCGCGGGCUCAACCCGCGGACGGCACAUGAUACUGCGAGACUAGCGACAUG